ACAGCAGCCGCCGCGGUAAUACGUAGGUCCCGAGCGUUGUCCGGAUUUAUUGGGCGUCAAGCGAGCGCAGGCGGUUAGAUAAGUCUGAAGUUAAAGGCUGUGGCUUAACCAUAGUACGCUUUGGAAACUGUUUAACUUGAGUGCAAGAGGGGAGAGUGGAAUUCCAUGUGUAGCGGUGAAAUGCGUAGAUAUAUGGAGGAACACCGGUGGCGAAAGCGGCUCUCUGGUCUGUAACUGACGCUGAGGCUCGAAAGCGUGGGGAGCAAACAGGAUUAGAUACCCGGGUAGUCCCUGUCUCUUAUACA
This 305-nucleotide ribosomal RNA is filed under the name uncultured bacterium. RNAcentral describes it as "partial 16S ribosomal RNA". It matches the Rfam family "Bacterial small subunit ribosomal RNA", at positions 508 to 808 of the family's 1533-position model. The record is from RNAcentral.